This 212-nucleotide long non-coding RNA is filed under the name Brassica napus (rape). RNAcentral's name for it is "long non-coding RNA (BNAP_LNC010950)". Lineage: Eukaryota; Viridiplantae; Streptophyta; Magnoliopsida; Brassicales; Brassicaceae. The record is from RNAcentral.
ACACUUACAUCGACCUUGUUCUCAUCCCAAUUUUAGAUUCUUUCUUGACGGAUAUCAUUUGUAUCACUCUAUCUAGUUCAGCUCAGCUCAUUGUAUUCGAUCUUAUUCGUCAAUAAAGUCCAUUUUUACCCACUGGAAACUGUUUAACAUCGUUGUAUUCUAAAGAUACCGUUGCCUACAUCAUUUGUCUUCCCUAGAUCAAACCCCGAUCA